GAUGAACGCUGGCGGCGUGCCUAAUACAUGCAAGUCGAGCGAACAGAUGAGGAGCUUGCUCCUCUGACGUUAGCGGCGGACGGGUGAGUAACACGUGGAUAACCUACCUAUAAGACUGGGAUAACUUCGGGAAACCGGAGCUAAUACCGGAUAAUAUAUUGAACCGCAUGGUUCAAUAGUGAAAGACGGUUUUGCUGUCACUUAUAGAUGGAUCCGCGCCGCAUUAGCUAGUUGGUAAGGUAACGGCUUACCAAGGCGACGAUGCGUAGCCGACCUGAGAGGGUGAUCGGCCACACUGGAACUGAGACACGGUCCAGACUCCUACGGGAGGCAGCAGUAGGGAAUCUUCCGCAAUGGGCGAAAGCCUGACGGAGCAACGCCGCGUGAGUGAUGAAGGUCUUCGGAUCGUAAAACUCUGUUAUUAGGGAAGAACAAAUGUGUAAGUAACUAUGCACGCCUUGACGGUACCUAAUCAGAAAGCCACGGCUAACUACGUG
Molecule: ribosomal RNA, 497 nt
Filed under: uncultured bacterium
Lineage: Bacteria
Description: partial 16S ribosomal RNA
Rfam family: Bacterial small subunit ribosomal RNA
Source: RNAcentral